AGUUCACGGCGUAGUGAAGCGGCAACAGCUCCAAAUUUGAAAUCUGGCCUCGGCCCGAGUUGUAAUUUGCAGAGGAAGCUUUAGGCGCGGCCCCAACUGAGUCCCCUGGAACGGGGCGCCACAGAGGGUGAGAGCCCCGUAUAGUUGGACGCCUAGCCUGUGUAAAGCUCCUUCGACGAGUCGAGUAGUUUGGGAAUGCUGCUCAAAAUGGGAGGUAAAUUUCUUCUAAAGCUAAAUACCGGCCAGAGACCGAUAGCGCACAAGUAGAGUGAUCGAAAGAUGAAAAGCACUUUGAAAAGAGGGUUAAAUAGCACGUGAAAUUGUUGAAAGGGAAGCGCUUGUGACCAGACUUGCGCCGGGCUGAUCAUCCGGUGUUCUCACCGGUGCACUCUGCCCGGCUCAGGCCAGCAUCGGUUCUCGCGGGGGGACAAAGGCUCCGGGAACGUAGCUCCUCCGGGAGUGUUAUAGCCCGGGGCGCAAUGCCCCCGCGGGGACCGAGGACCGCGCUCU
This 510-nucleotide ribosomal RNA is filed under the name Parathielavia kuwaitensis. RNAcentral describes it as "partial 28S ribosomal RNA". It matches the Rfam family "Eukaryotic large subunit ribosomal RNA", at positions 82 to 601 of the family's 3401-position model. Lineage: Eukaryota; Fungi; Ascomycota; Sordariomycetes; Sordariales; Chaetomiaceae. The record is from RNAcentral.